AUUUCUGAUCAAACUAACGAAAUUAUUGAAUGAACUAUAAUUUAGUGCCCAAGAUUUUCCUGCUCCAGUGCAAUUUUCGCGUCUCUGGCCUUUUUCCAUUCCCAGUCCAUAUUUAUUUCCCUAGCCAGUGAUUAUUAUUUCAUUUGGCUGCUGCUUUGGGCCCUGUGCAAAAUUCGCUGCCUUUCAUAAUUCUGGCGACUUGUUUGUUUGAAUUGUGUGCAAUGCUGUGUUUCGAUGUGGUGGGUGGCUGGAUUGGAUUUGCUGGCAUGUGGGGCAGAUUGCCAUGUUGCUGGCGGAGCGUUAAACGCGCCAAAUUGAUUAGCAUUUAAAUUGCCUGCGAAAUGUGUGGCACAAGGAGCACUGCAAUAGCAAAGCAACAGCAGGAGCGGCAGCCCCAAAAAUUAAGCCAUAAAGCUGAAAGCGGACCAUGAACGGUGCGCUCCUCUGUCGUUUGGCUAGCUCCGUCUGCUUCGCCACCCACCACCUUCCUGCUUUUUCGCAUUCGGAUUCCCAUGGCAGCAAUGAAUUGCAAAUAACGCAUUGACCGCACUGCACCUUUGCCGCCACCUUUUGCGGACAAUUCUGGGUGAACCUCAAUCCCAUUCCAGAUCCAGGUGCAUAUGUAUACUCGUACAUGGAUGUAUGUGCGAUAUCUGUCCAACUUUUGCCCGACUGCCGGCAAGCGUUGCAUGUUGCUGGCACAACAGCAACAUAAAUGGCAGCAGCAACAUUCGUUGCGUUUACCGCCAAAAGCAGAAACCU
Non-coding RNA from Drosophila melanogaster (fruit fly), 762 nucleotides. Lineage: Eukaryota; Metazoa; Arthropoda; Insecta; Diptera; Drosophilidae. The record is from Ensembl.